This is a non-coding RNA of Trichonephila inaurata madagascariensis, 81 nucleotides long. NCBI's taxonomy places the organism in Eukaryota, Metazoa, Arthropoda, Arachnida, Araneae, Nephilidae. The record is from the annotation of a GenBank genome assembly.
GUUCCUGUAGCGCAAUGGAUACCGCGUUGGACUUCAAAUCCAAAGGGCGUGGGUUCGAAUCCCACCUAAUUUCUGGGAAUG